Molecule: long non-coding RNA, 324 nt
Filed under: Solanum tuberosum (potato)
Lineage: Eukaryota; Viridiplantae; Streptophyta; Magnoliopsida; Solanales; Solanaceae
Description: long non-coding RNA (STUB_LNC009895)
Source: RNAcentral
UCAGCUGGGUAGGUUAGAGAAUAAGCAAAACACGAAAGAUUAAGAUUUAGAGCCUAGAGGCUCAAAUCUGCAAAGAGAUCGGGGCGAAAGAGAAGCGACCACGCCAUGGCUGCAAAAUAAUGAUUUGCCAAGCCAAGAUACGGAUCGGAUAGUCUCCAUCUCCGAUUCAGCUAGCCCAGAAUCCGAAGAAAUCAUCAUCACCGCCUCAAAUUUUAUGGGAAAAUCAACAAACAUACAUACAUACAUAGUCUAACAGAGACAAAAAAAACUAGUAGUAUAUAUAUGCUUUCCAAGUUCAAUGAUCCAGUAAUUAACAUAACCAAG